RNAcentral lists this ribosomal RNA (373 nucleotides) under uncultured bacterium. Its description in RNAcentral is "bacterial SSU rRNA". It matches the Rfam family "Bacterial small subunit ribosomal RNA", at positions 523 to 898 of the family's 1533-position model. The record is from RNAcentral.
AUACGGACGGUCCGGGCGUUAUCCGGAUUUAUUGGGUUUAAAGGGAGCGUAGGCUGGGCGUUAAGCCAGCAGUGAAAGUCCGCGGCCCAACCGCGGGUGUGCUGUUGGAACUGGUGUCCUUGAGUGCGCGCGAGGUAUGCGGAAUUUGUGGUGUAGCGGUGAAAUGCUUAGAUAUCACGAAGAACCCCGAUUGCGAAGGCAGUAUACCGGAGCGCAACUGACGCUGAAGCUCGAAAGUGCGGGUAUCGAACAGGAUUAGAUACCCUGGUAGUCCGCACGGUAAACGAUGGAUGCCCGCUGUCGGCGACAGACUGUCGGCGGCCAAGCGAAAGCGUUAAGCAUCCCACCUGGGGAGUACGCCGGCAACGGUGAA